Molecule: transfer RNA, 68 nt
Filed under: Ctenisodes sp. 1 EF-2015
Lineage: Eukaryota; Metazoa; Arthropoda; Insecta; Coleoptera; Staphylinidae
Description: tRNA-Asp
Rfam family: tRNA
About the family: Transfer RNA (tRNA) molecules are approximately 80 nucleotides in length. Their secondary structure includes four short double-helical elements and three loops (D, anti-codon, and T loops).
Source: RNAcentral
AAAAAUUUAGUUAAACCCGUAUAACAUUAACUUGUCAAGUUAAAAUUAUUAUUUAAUAAUAAUUUUUA